This 253-nucleotide ribosomal RNA is filed under the name uncultured bacterium. RNAcentral's name for it is "partial 16S ribosomal RNA". It matches the Rfam family "Bacterial small subunit ribosomal RNA", at positions 524 to 776 of the family's 1533-position model. The record is from RNAcentral.
UACGAAGGGGGCUAGCGUUGUUCGGAAUUACUGGGCGUAAAGCGCGCGUAGGCUGUUCGGUAAGUUAGAGGUGAAAGCCCGGAGCUCAACUCCGGAAUUGCCUUUAAGACUGUCGGACUGGAGGCCGAGAGAGGUGAGUGGAAUUCCCAGUGUAGAGGUGAAAUUCGUAGAUAUUGGGAAGAACACCAGUGGCGAAGGCGGCUCACUGGCUCGGUUCUGACGCUGAGGCGCGAAAGCGUGGGGAGCAAACAGG